AUUAAGUUUACUUUUUAGUUUUUAGAUAUAAUGUUUUGACUUUUCGUCUUAUUUAAAAUAUUUGUGUGAUUAAUAUUUGCAUCGUUACCCGAUGGUAAAGCAUGAAUAGUACUUUUUACGUGACUAAUUUUUUUAUGUUUUUGUACAAUUUUUUUAAAUAAGAUGAAUGGUUAAAGCGUUGAACAUAGAAAUCAAAAAAUAAGGUUAUU
This 209-nucleotide microRNA precursor is filed under the name Oryza brachyantha (malo sina). Its description in RNAcentral is "MIR812 microRNA precursor family". It matches the Rfam family "MIR812 microRNA precursor family". The record is from Rfam by way of RNAcentral. Lineage: Eukaryota; Viridiplantae; Streptophyta; Magnoliopsida; Poales; Poaceae.